GACGAACGCUGGCGGCGUGCUUAACACAUGCAAGUCGAGCGGUAAGGCCCUUUCGGGGGUACACGAGCGGCGAACGGGUGAGUAACACGUGGGUGACCUGCCCUCAGCUCUGGGAUAAGCCCGGGAAACUGGGUCUAAUACUGGAUAUGACUCCAUGACGCAUGUUGUGGGGUGGAAAGCCUUGUGCGGCUGGGGGAUGGGCCCGCGGCCUAUCAGCUUGUUGGUGGGGUGAUGGCCUACCAAGGCGACGACGGGUAGCCGGCCUGAGAGGGCGACCGGCACACUGGGACUGAGACACGGCCCAGACUCCUA
This 312-nucleotide ribosomal RNA is filed under the name uncultured bacterium. RNAcentral describes it as "bacterial SSU rRNA". It matches the Rfam family "Bacterial small subunit ribosomal RNA", at positions 28 to 341 of the family's 1533-position model. The record is from RNAcentral.